Molecule: unclassified non-coding RNA, 285 nt
Filed under: plant metagenome
Description: partial contains small subunit ribosomal RNA, internal transcribed spacer 1, and 5.8S ribosomal RNA
Rfam family: Eukaryotic small subunit ribosomal RNA (bases 1-54)
Source: RNAcentral
GGAAGUAAAAGUCGUAAUAAGGUUUCCGUAGGUGAGCCUGCGGAAGGAUCAUUAUUGUAUAACCGAGGUGCGAGGGCUGUCGCUGACCCGAAAGGUCGUGCACGCCCGAGUGCCCUCACACACAUCCAUCUCACCCCUAUGUGCACCACCGCGUGGGUCCCCCUUUGGCUUGUUCGGAGGGGGGCUUACGUUUUCACACAAACUUUGUAUGCAGUGUAGAAUGUAUUUUUUGUUUUUGCGAUCACGCAAUCAAUACAACUUUCAACAACGGAUCUCUUGGCUCUC